GCUCGCUCCCAGUGGCGUCCGGAUGGGGGGGGGGAAGGGGGACAGGCCUUCGGACGCCGCAGUCGCCGCCGCCUCUCUCUCCUACUUCCCGGUUUCUGCAGCCUCUAGGUACUUCACAUGGAUAAAAUUGAAUAGGAGAAAAAGUUGAGCUGGAUUGCAUUUGGGAAUUUGUACGGUACUUUCAUUGAUCUCAAGCUUGCAUGCUGCCGCAUCUGAUUUUCUCCAGGGCAUCUGGCAUAAGUGUAAAGCCAUAUCAUAAACUGCAGAAGAAAGAUUGACCUUUGGACAUUGGUGAUGAAACUCUAAGGACUCAUUUGAGCUGCUAAAGGCAUAUAUAAAUGAAGAAAAAUUUACAACUACACAAGAUUUAAGUGUCCUUCCUUCACCACGGGUCAUUAAAGUACCUUCUAGAACAGAUCCUUUGGGGAUUACAUCAUCAAAUAUUAUGUGUAAUAUGAGUGGAAAAGGUCCUGCCGAAAGCUUCAGUGUUAAAGAUAAGAAUAAUACACCAUCCAUGGCAAUCCAACAAGUAGAAGAAGAAGAACAGCUGUGUAUCUGGGCUGUCGUGAAACCUGGGAACCCAGUCUCGGGAAUGUGCCUCCCCGGCUUCAUUGCCAACAGACAUGGAUUUCCAUAUGGACAAUGUGGCAUUAGAGCCAAGUCAACAGACUGCUGUGAAAACAAGGAGUAG
RNAcentral lists this long non-coding RNA (691 nucleotides) under Vombatus ursinus (common wombat). RNAcentral describes it as "lncRNA (ENSVURG00010017593.1)". The record is from RNAcentral. Lineage: Eukaryota; Metazoa; Chordata; Mammalia; Diprotodontia; Vombatidae.